AGGGUUUGAUCCUGGCUCAGAAUGAACGCUGGCGGCGUGCCUUACACAUGCAAGUCGGAUGUGUCGCAAGACACAUGGCAGACGGGUGAGUAACACGUGGGAAACUUACCUCUUAGUGGGGAAUAACGCUCCGAAAGGAGCGGUAAUACCGCAUGAGACCUAUCGCUGGGAUGCGAUAGAUGAAAGCUGGGGAUCGUAAGACCUAGCGCUGAGAGAGAGUCCUGCGUCUGAUUAGUUAGUUGGUGAGGUAACGGCUCACCAAGACUUCGAUCAGUAGCCGGCCUGAGAGGGCGAUCGGCCACACUGGAACUGAGACACGGUCCAGACUCCUACGGGAGGCAGCAGUGGGGAAUCUUGCGCAAUGGGCGAAAGCCUGACGCAGCAACGCCGCGUGGGUGAUGAAGGUCUUCGGAUUGUAAAACCCUGUCGUUAGGGACGAAGGUAGGAAUCCUAAUACGGUUCAUGCUUGACGGUACCUAGAAAGGAAGCCCCGGCUAACUCUGUGCCAGCAGCCGCGGUAAUACAGAGGGGGCAAGCGUUAUUCGGAAUUAUUGGGCGUAAAGCGCGCGCAGGCGGUGAAUGAAGUCGAAAGUGAAAGCCCCGGGCUCAACUCGGGAACUGCUUUCGAAACCAGUUCACUUGAAGGCGGAAGAGGGAAGUGGAAUUCCGAGUGUAGUGGUGGAAUGCGUAGAUAUUCGGAAGAACACCAGAGGCGAAGGCGACUUCCUGGUCCGAUCUUGACGCUGAGGCGCGAAAGCUAGGGGAGCAAACGGGAUUAGAUACCCCGGUAGUCCUAGCUGUAAACGAUGGAUACUAGGUGUUGGAGGUUUUAACCCCUCCGGUGCCGCAGCUAACGCAUUAAGUAUCCCGCCUGGGGAGUACGGCCGCAAGGCUAAAACUCAAAGGAAUUGACGGGGCCCCGCACAAGCAGCGGAGCGUGGGGUUUAAUUCGAUGAUACGCGAAGAACCUUACCAAGACUUGACAUGC
This 988-nucleotide ribosomal RNA is filed under the name uncultured bacterium. RNAcentral's name for it is "bacterial SSU rRNA". It matches the Rfam family "Bacterial small subunit ribosomal RNA", at positions 8 to 989 of the family's 1533-position model. The record is from RNAcentral.